RNAcentral lists this transfer RNA (70 nucleotides) under Cordylochernes scorpioides. RNAcentral describes it as "tRNA-Phe". Lineage: Eukaryota; Metazoa; Arthropoda; Arachnida; Pseudoscorpiones; Chernetidae. The record is from RNAcentral.
UGUAUAUCAGGAUUGAACCAGGGACCUUUAGAUCUUCAGUCUAGCACUCUCCCAACUGAACUAUUUCAGC